Long non-coding RNA from Heterocephalus glaber (naked mole-rat), 605 nucleotides. Lineage: Eukaryota; Metazoa; Chordata; Mammalia; Rodentia; Bathyergidae. The record is from Ensembl.
CAAACUCUCUCUCCUCCCCAGAGCCCCUCCCCUCCUCUGGCAGGCGGGUAGGCUUGGGAGGAAGAGAGAAAGACAGGCGCCAGUGAAAGUACACUUGGAAGAAGAGAAGAGGGCAAAUGAGGAAACUGAGGCCCGAGGAGAAGAGGGAAUCGGAAUUCCCUCCCACGUUCCUCAAGGACGUCUGGGCCACAGUCUCCUUCUGGUCCCUAGUACAGGCCUGGCACACAGCAGACAGUAGCAAAGCUAGCUCCAGCCCGGCUGUGGCCAAGGAGGGGGUGCCUGGGACAAGCCCCCUAUUCCCUGCUCACUGCUGGCAGAGUUCCUUGAGAGCCCCUCCACCAAGGGACAGAGUGACUCACCUCAUCUCGCACUGCUAGGAAGACAACAGGAUACCAGGCACCUCCACUGGGCCAGAGAAAGGGCAGAAGCAGCAAGAGUCUCCAGCUUGGCCACGCUCAGCAGCCAAAGCUGCUCGCUUCCACCCUCAGUCCAGCCUGCUCGGGAACCUACAAGUCCCUCUGACCCCAAAGCUCCUCUGGGUCCUAGGCAUUUUCAAAUGCUGUGACAAGAUUUUACCUCAGCCUGGCACAUAGUAGGCUCAGAAG